ACCUGGGCCGAAGUCGGACGCUCAACCGACUGAGCCACCCAGGCGCCCCAAGAUGGCCUUCCUUAAAAAUGGAAGAAAACUCAUCAUCUCUGAGGCAUUAAAUUUGGCUACAGAUCUUUGGGGAAUCUCCACUAUUUCCAUGAAAUAAUGGGUCAUCAAAUCCCUCACCACCAGUGUAUCAGUUAUGUAUUGCUGUAUAACAAAUCAUGCCAAAACUUAGUGGCUUAAAACAACAGCUGUCUUUAUUUGCUCGUCAUUUUGUAGGGCAGUAAUUUGGGAUGAGCCUAGCUGGGCAGUUCUACUGGUAUCAUCUAGAGUCACUCACGAGGCUUGCUUAUCUGGAGGCUUGAAUGGGGCUGGAUAGUCCAAGGUGGCUUCACUCACUUACCUCACUUACCUGCCAUUGGGCCUCUUUCUCCAUGGCCCUUUAAGCAGGAGAGCCAGGCUUCCUCAUAUGGCAUCACCGUGUUCCAAGAAGCAUCUUGAGGCCUGGACUUGAAAGUUUCGCUGUGUCACAUCACUGCAUUCUACUACUUAAAGCAAGUCACAGGUCAGCCAAGACUCAAGGGCAGGGCGAAUAGACUGUAUUUAUUUCUAUAGGAAGAAUGUCAAAGUCAUGAGCACACAGAAAUAAGGUUAUUGUAGCCAUAUUUGCAAAUAAUGUACCAUGCUUGGAACCUAGCUUCAUCAAAACAAACAAAUCAAAAAAUAUCCAAGCAUUUGUAACCAAUUUCCAGCCAUGGAAAAAGUUGAAUGACAUGGUAUUAUAAAGUUCCUGUGAGAAAUUAGUAGUCAAAAAAACAACCCUUAACAUUUCUGUAAUUCACAGGAUAGUUAUGAAUAAUGCAUAGCCAAAAGAAUAUAGGAUUGAAUAAAAGGGGGGUUGGAUUACAGAUCAAGUCUUGUUACCAGCUUUCUCUGUUAAUUGUUCGAAACACCUAACACUCGAGCCUCAGUUUCCCUAUGGAUCAAAUAAGGAAACCUACAGACCACACACUGUUCAUGAGAAAGAGCUCUGUGAGCUGUAAAAAUGCGAUAUAAAUGAAAAGUCAUUAAAAAGAAAUCAAAUCAUGAAAUCUUGUCUUUCUCCUCUCCUCUGGUUACGUGGUUUCAAACAAGGAGUGAUCUCAGGCUUAUGUUGCUACAAAAAAUCUGUUUUUACAAAAAUUUUCUUUCAUUUAAAUGCUUUUUGAUGAUUUGCCAGUGAAUGUAGUGCAAUCUAUGGUCUUUCUAAGUGCACAAAAAUGUGUGAAAUUAAAACACCCAAGAAGAGAAUAAUUGGAUGUAUCCAUUUGGGGAAAAAAGGAAAUUGUGUGGUAAAGAAAAUGAGCUUAAAAGCAUACGAGAGACUGUGUCUUUUAGACUGUGUAAGAAUAAUUAGAUGAGAUUCCUCUGUGUGGACAGUUUUAAGAGAAAAUGAUUUGAAAUGGUAGCCUGUGUGCCAAGCUAGGUAUGAGAGUUGAACACACAGUUAACUUUGAAGAAGUAAAAGAAAAAAACUUCUCUACAAAGCAACAACUAAUUUCCUUGGGGAAUGGGUCGUGAUGAAUAUAAAAACACCAGGCUUUAGUGUUUCUAGAGAAAAAGGUGAUACGGACAGGAUCAGUGAGGGCUUGGAAGAGGCUUGUGAGGUCCCCUCAGCAAAUAUGGGAGAAUGUGAAUACAUUCUCCAGAGUUUCAUAACCUCCAUUUGUCCCUUACUCUAUGUGUGAUGCGCUUCGCCACACCAUGUUUUUCCUCCUGACUCCAGCACGCUUCCAUGCAUCCCUGGCAGCCAGUAUUCUGCCUCAAGCACACGUGACAUCUGUGGGUGCCAUGUUCUCAGUGUCUAUGCAUGCCCAGAAAUGUGGGGAAGGUUAUCACUCUCUAGGGCCAUCUUUAAUUACUGGGCAAUAGGGAUUGGUGGAAAAAGGAAUGCCUCAGCCUCCCUGUGUUCUAGUGCAGGGCUUGACAAACUUUGGCCAAAUCCUUCCCGUCUGUUUUUAUAAAUAAAGAUUUAUUAGAGCACAGCUGUGCCCGUUAAUUUACGUAUUGUCUAUGGCUGCUUUUAUGCUGCAGUGGCAGAGUUGAGUAGUUAUGACAGGGACUGCAUGGCCUACAAAGAGAAAAAUAUGUAACAUCUGACCCUUUACACAACAUAUUAGCCGACCUCUGCUCCAGUGGGACAGUGCUGAGGCACAUUCUCCAUGUUUCCUCAGAGUGUCCCCAACAAGAUGGAGACCCAGUCACCCAUAGCAGUAACCAGCACAAAUGCACACUUUAUCGGCUUUUUGCCCUUUCUUAGCUCUCUUUCCCCCUACUCCUUCACUUUUGUUUUCCGGGAUCACUUUCCGAGUAAACUGUUUGCACCAGAGAACUUCUCCUUUUGUAAAUAUAAACUAAGACAGAAUUCAAUCCUCCUUGGUAAUUAUUUUUCAUGUUUUAGUUAGAAGACUGCCCUAAUAUUUUACUUUGUGACACAUCACACAUAACAUGCAUAUAACCAAAACACACACGUAUAACCUAUCUCCAAAACAAAUGAUUUAUUAAAUAAUAUUUAUCUUUCCUGUCACUAAUAUACACUUGUAUUUUCUAUUCCAUUUUACUCUCUUAUAUUUCAUGGAAAAAAUAUUCUGGUCAUAAUAUUAAAUUGAUUUCAACACAGCCCUAGUGGUCCAUUUACCAGUUUUUGAACCAGAAUAGGUCAGCGAGUGGUCACAGGCCUAACUUGCACACACUUAGGGUCCACAAGGCUUCGAUUCAGAUUGCCUGGCUAAAGAAAUGCAGAUUGGGUAUCUGGGAGAUGUGGGCAGGAACUCUUAACCCUAAGGGCAGAAAUUCUUUGCCUCCAUCCUAAGAAGAACAAGGGGAGAUACGUGAGAGGAUGAAGGAAAGGGAAAAUUGCCUUUAAGUGAAGGAGGAAGACCAAGGAAGAGAUAAAACCCAGUGGAGUGUGAAACUGCCUAGAGCUACAAAUCAUCCCUUCAUUUUGCAUUGCAUAAAACUGCAUCCAUGUGUAAAAGCAACAAAUAAUAACAUUUGAGUGAACAUAAAUAAUCAGUUGAAUCCUUCCUGUAUUUAAAAUUGAUGUCUUCCAUUAGUUACCAUUUAUGUCAUCUUUAUAUCUUUACCCAUGAUUCCAGAUGACCUCCUCCUACUUAAUACCAUACAGUGUGGACUUUUCCUACCUCUCUGAUUACUGCUUUUGAUCUCUUUCUUUGGAUUCUCUUCUAGUAAUUGCUCUUAGCUGUUGGUAUUUUUCAGGGAUCCUUUCUCAACUUUAUGAGUUUCUUUCUUUUUUUUUUUUUUUCAUGCUACACACUUUCCUUAAUCAAUUUCACCCACUUCCGUGGUUUAAUGACCAUUUCUGUGCUCCUGGUCUACAAAAUAAAUACCUCCAGGCUGAAUCCUCUCCCCUUCCAGAUUUAUUUACCCAACUGCCUACUUAAUAUCUAGACCAAGUUUAAUACAUUCUCAAUUGAACCCUCAUCUGUAAUGCCCACCAAGUCUUCUUCUGAUCUCCCCUGUCCUGCAUUCUGUCUUUUCCACCAUUGGUACGAUCACCUAGACCAGAAAUCUGGAGCCUGCCUAAACUCCUUUUAUUUCUCUUCUCCAUCCAAAUGGUCAUAUGUCCUAAAUAUUUUUAAAGUUAUUCUCCUCCUGUGUUUCUGUUGAUAUUUUCCUGGUUUUGAGCAUCAUCUUUCUUUUGUAUUAUUGAAAUAAUCCAUCUCUUGAUAUCCCUGCCCUCAGUCUCUCCCCAUUCAAUUGUUUCUUCAUAAAGCCACCAGGGUCAUCUUCUAAAAUGCCCCAGUCAGGGUUCGGAUCAGGGAAACUGAAACUGCAUGAAGCAUUUUGAGCAGGCAUAGAUUUAAUGCUGCCAAAUCAUGCUUAUAAAAUAUUGGGAAAGUUGUAGGACUGUAGGUCAGAGAAGGUUGUUGAUGGCUCUGAAGCCAGUAGGUCUACAAUGUGGUAGUAAACUUUCUCAGGGAAGAGGAAGCAGCUAUUGUUGCCCUGGUUAAGAACUUCAGAAUACCGUUCAGAAUGGUAACGUUCGUAACUGUCUAUGACACCACAGUGGGUACUUCACAUACAGCAGGAUGCUAAUAACAACCUAAUGUUUGUGGAAGCUCAAACAUUUGCCUACCACUAUUGGAGGAGUAAUGGUGGCCUUUGAUUUCCUUCUACCUUCUGAAAGCCUAUCAGGAUGCUGAAUUGGUGGACUUUAAACUGGAAUACUGCUGACAAGAGAUCUGGGAAAUGUUUCCCCAGAUUUCCAACUCCUAUGGUACAGGAGAGAGCAUAGGAGUUGGAAUAGCUUUGAGGACCACAGGCAGGAGCCCUCUUCACUGCCCGAGCCCACAGCAUCUGCAAAAUCCUCCCUCUCUGACUUGACACAUGGUCCUAAGGGCUUGUUGGCCUGAGUCCGAAGCAGCUGCCAGAUUGCUUCGACUCAGACACCACCAAUCUGGGCCUCAUCUUGUCUGCUGGAUUCCGUUGUUGCUCGCCUAUCUGCAAAGCGAGGAACUUUCAAGAAGGUCGGAGAAUUCCCUGACGGCACCUUUUGGAUUCCUUGCUCCUCUCUUGGAUGUGAAUAUGCUAAAAUUGAUUGCAUAAGCCUGGAUUUUUACAUUAUAAUUCUGUCCCUGCCUAACGUUUAUGCUGUAAUUAAUCUGAAAGCUCUUAAUUUUUCAUUGAUAGAUUUGAAUGAGCAUGCUGCUGUUGUCAGUACAAAAAGGGAAAAUGAGGUGUGUCAUGUGGGAACUAGAAAAUAAGGUUAACUUGUGACAGGAAAACUAAAAAAAAAAAAAAAAAAAUCCAACAUAGUGAAUGAGAUCAG
Felis catus (domestic cat) is the source of this 4816-nucleotide long non-coding RNA. RefSeq lists it as uncharacterized. NCBI's taxonomy places the organism in Eukaryota, Metazoa, Chordata, Mammalia, Carnivora, Felidae. The transcript has 2 exons. The record is from RefSeq and is a predicted model, not a curated record.